GACGAACGCUGGCGGCGUGCUUAACACAUGCAAGUCGAACGGAAAGGCCCCUUUGGGGGUACUCGAGUGGCGAACGGGUGAGUAACACGUGAGUAACCUGCCCUUGACUUCGGGAUAACUUCAGGAAACUGGGGCUAAUACCGGAUAGGAAUCCUUGCUGCAUGGUGGGGGUUGGAAAGCUUCGGCGGGUUUGGAUGGACUCGCGGCUUAUCAGCUUGUUGGUGGGGUAGUGGCUUACCAAGGCUUUGACGGGUAGCCGGCCUGAGAGGGCGACCGGCCACAUUGGGACUGAGAUACGGCCCAGACGCCUACGGGAGGCAGCAGGGGGGAAUAUUGCACAAUGGGCGGAAGCCUGAUGCAGCAACGCCGCGGGCGGGAGGACGGCCUUCGGGUUGUAAACCGCUUUCAGCAGGGGCGGAGCUUGUGGUGACGGUACCUGCAGAAGAAGCACCGGCUAACUACGUG
Molecule: ribosomal RNA, 465 nt
Filed under: uncultured bacterium
Lineage: Bacteria
Description: partial 16S ribosomal RNA
Rfam family: Bacterial small subunit ribosomal RNA
Source: RNAcentral